UCAAAACUACACUCGUCUAAUAAGCUACACGGAGUCAAGCUCUUGAAGAUCAACCAUGAAGACAACAAUCUUAGUUUUAUCUCUUCUACUUAUAGCUCUCUACCCAAGAGAGUCUCACGCCUUUACAGCAGGAAUUGGUAACGUUGGAAAACGCCAGUUGAAGAUGGAAAGAGCCUUUGACACCGUAUGUCGGGUUACAAUGGAGGCCUGUUUGGGUGCUGCAUCAAAACGAAGCAACGAAGACUACGAAAUAUCAAGAAACAAGAACUGACGCCAAGACAAUCUAUGAGAGUGGAAAUUAGUUGGCGAAAGAGACUGAAAAAAUGGCUUGGUUUUUUGUGUGUUUAGUUUAAACCAGAAAACGUUCACUAUUCUUCCACUGAGAGAUAUUUAAUAAAUCAAACAAUGAUCAUGACAAGAAUAUUGUUUUUUUUAUUUGUUCAUGUUUUAUUUUAUUUGUUUAGACUUAUGGAAAGUAACUUCAAAUUAUUCUGUAAAUAAGAAAUCAAAUAAACAUAGCUACUGUUGAUCAGUUAAAA
Long non-coding RNA from Exaiptasia diaphana, 539 nucleotides. RefSeq lists it as uncharacterized. The record is from RefSeq and is a predicted model, not a curated record. Lineage: Eukaryota; Metazoa; Cnidaria; Anthozoa; Actiniaria; Aiptasiidae. The transcript has 2 exons.